GAUGAACGCUAGCGGGAGGCCUAACGCAUGCAAGCCGAGCGGUAGAGUUUCUUCGGAAACUUGAGAGCGGCGCACGGGUGCGUAACACGUGUGCAACCUACCUUUAUCUGGGGGAUAGCCUUUCGAAAGGAAGAUUAAUACCCCAUAAUAUAAUGAUUGGCAUCAAUUAUUAUUGAAAACUCCGGUGGAUAGAGAUGGGCACGCGCAAGAUUAGAUAGUUGGUGAGGUAACGGCUCACCAAGUCAAUGAUCUUUAGGGGUCCUGAGAGGGAGAUCCCCCACACUGGUACUGAGACACGGACCAGACUCCUACGGGAGGCAGCAGUGAGGAAUAUUGGACAAUGGGUGAGAGCCUGAUCCAGCCAUCCCGCGUGAAGGAUGACGGUCCUAUGGAUUGUAAACUUCUUUUGUACAGGGAUAAACCUACCCUCGUGAGGGUAGCUGAAGGUACUGUACGAAUAAGCACCGGCUAACUCCGUG
RNAcentral lists this ribosomal RNA (479 nucleotides) under uncultured bacterium. RNAcentral's name for it is "partial 16S ribosomal RNA". It matches the Rfam family "Bacterial small subunit ribosomal RNA", at positions 28 to 507 of the family's 1533-position model. The record is from RNAcentral.